This 619-nucleotide ribosomal RNA is filed under the name uncultured Ascomycota. RNAcentral's name for it is "eukaryotic LSU rRNA". The stretch from base 245 to 398 matches the Rfam family "5.8S ribosomal RNA". The record is from RNAcentral. Lineage: Eukaryota; Fungi; Ascomycota.
CUUGGUCAUUUAGAGGAAGUAAAAGUCGUAACAAGGUUUCCGUAGGUGAACCUGCGGAAGGAUCAUUACCGAGUAAGGGGUCCCUAAGGGCCUCAACUCCCACCCCAUGUGUACUUACUCUGUUGCUUUGGCGGGCCCAGUGGGGCUUAGGCCCUCUGCUCCCGCUCCGGCUGGCGUGUGCCCGCCCAGGGACCCCAAAACCCUUUUAGGUCUGUGUUGUCUGAAUCGCAAAUAACUAUCGUAAAACUUUCAACAACGGAUCUCUUGGUUCUGGCAUCAAUGAAAAACGCAACGAAAUGUGAUAAGUAGAGUGAAUUGCAUAAUUCAAUGAAUCAUCGAAUCUUUGAACGCACAUUGCGCCCCUCGGUAUUCCGUGGGGCAUGCCUGUUCAAACGUCAUUAAAAACUGGUGCUCUGCUUGGUGUUGGGCGUCUGUCCGCGCCUCCGCGCGUGGACUCUCCCCAAACACAUUGGAUGACUAGGCUGAUGACCCGUCCGCAGCACAUUGCGUCGGCGAGUGCGCAGUCGGCCUUCCUGUCCUUCAACCUCUUCUUCCUCAGAUUUGACCUCGAAUCACGUAGGGAUACCCGCUGAACUUAAGCAUAUCAAUAAGCGGAGGA